UGUUAUUAGAUCUAAUUAAUAAUAUAAUCUGCUCAAUGAUAUUUAAAUAGCCGCAAACUCUGUGCUAAGGUAGCAUAAUAAUUUGUCUUUUAAAUAAGGACUAGUAUGAAAGAUUUAACAUUUUAAUUUAUAUCUUUAAUAUAAAUAUUAAAAAUUUUUUUAAAUGUAAAAAAACAUUUCUCUAAAAGAAAGACGACAAGACCCUAUUGAACUUAACUAUAGUUUAACUGGGGCAGUUAAUCAAUUAAAAUUUUAAUAAAAUAUAUUCUAUAUAAGACCCAAUAACAUUAAUUACUAGAACAAGUUACCGAAGGGAUAACAGCGCAAUAAAUUUUUUAAGAACUUAUAAARAAAUAAGAUUACGACCUCGAUGUUGAAUAAUAACCAAUAUUAUUCUUUUAACGCAAAAGUUAUAUAUGGGAGUCUGUUCGACUCUUAAACAAUUACA
RNAcentral lists this ribosomal RNA (448 nucleotides) under Copa sp. MR46. Its description in RNAcentral is "partial 16S ribosomal RNA". Lineage: Eukaryota; Metazoa; Arthropoda; Arachnida; Araneae; Corinnidae. The record is from RNAcentral.